UACGUAGGGGCAAGCGUUGUCCGGAAUUAUUGGGCGUAAAGAGCGUGUAGGCGGUCCGGUAAGUCGGCUGUGAAAGUCCAGGGCUCAACCCUGGGAUGCCGGUCGAUACUGCCGGACUAGAGUUCGGAAGAGGCGAGUGGAAUUCCCGGUGUAGCGGUGAAAUGCGUAGAUAUCUGGAGGAACACCGGUGGCGAAGGCGGCAUCCUGGACCGACACUGACGCUGAGGAGCGAAAGCCAGGGGAGCAAACGGG
This 252-nucleotide ribosomal RNA is filed under the name uncultured bacterium. RNAcentral's name for it is "partial 16S ribosomal RNA". It matches the Rfam family "Bacterial small subunit ribosomal RNA", at positions 524 to 776 of the family's 1533-position model. The record is from RNAcentral.